This 1032-nucleotide ribosomal RNA is filed under the name NC10 bacterium enrichment culture clone Enr-Ra1. Its description in RNAcentral is "bacterial SSU rRNA". It matches the Rfam family "Bacterial small subunit ribosomal RNA", at positions 29 to 1034 of the family's 1533-position model. The record is from RNAcentral. Lineage: Bacteria; Methylomirabilota (SeqCode).
ACGAACGCUGGCGGCGUGCCUAACACAUGCAAGUCGAGCGAGAAAGUCCCGGCAACGGGAUGAGUAAAGCGGCGAACGGGUGAGUAACGCGUAGGUAAUCUAUCCUUCGGAUUGGGAUAACCUGCUGAAAGGUGGGCUAAUACCGAAUAAUGUUCUUGUGGGAAUCUCACGGGGACCAAAGGGGGCGAGCGUAAGCAGCUCUCACCAAAGGAGGAGCCUGCGUCCGAUUAGCUAGUUGGUGGGGUAACGGCCUACCAAGGCGACGAUCGGUAGCCGGCCUGAGAGGGCGACCGGCCACACUGGAACUGAGACACGGUCCAGACUCCUACGGGAGGCAGCAGUGGGGAAUAUUGCGCAAUGGGCGAAAGCCUGACGCAGCGACGCCGCGUGGGUGAUGAAGGCCUUCGGGUCGUAAAGCCCUGUCAGGUGGAACGAAUGACUUGGCGGCGAAUAACCGCCGGGUGUGACGGUACCACCGAAGGAAGCCCCGGCUAACUACGUGCCAGCAGCCGCGGUAAGACGUAGGGGGCGAGCGUUGUUCGGAUUUACUGGGCGUAAAGCGCGCGUAGGCGGCUAGAUAAGUCGGGUGUGAAAGCCCUCGGCUCAACCGAGGUCCCGCAUCCGAUACUGCCUGGCUGGAGUCUAGGAGAGGAAAGCGGAAUUCCCAGUGUAGCGGUGAAAUGCGUAGAUAUUGGGAGGAACACCGGUGGCGAAGGCGGCUUUCCGGACUAGUACUGACGCUGAGGCGCGAAAGCUAGGGGAGCGAACGGGAUUAGAUACCCCGGUAGUCCUAGCCGUAAACGAUGGGCACUAGGUGUGGGAGGUAUUGACCCCUUCCGCGCCGAAGCUAACGCAUUAAGUGCCCCGCCUGGGGAGUACGGCCGCAAGGCUAAAACUCAAAGGAAUUGACGGGGGCCCGCACAAGCGGUGGAGCAUGUGGUUUAAUUCGACGCAACGCGAAGAACCUUACCAGGGCUUGACAUCCCACGAACCUGCCUGAAAGGGCAGGGUGCCCGCAAGGGAGCGUGGAGA